This 355-nucleotide unclassified non-coding RNA is filed under the name soil metagenome. RNAcentral describes it as "partial contains 5.8S ribosomal RNA, internal transcribed spacer 2, and large subunit ribosomal RNA". The stretch from base 1 to 120 matches the Rfam family "5.8S ribosomal RNA", at positions 35 to 154 of the family's 154-position model. The record is from RNAcentral.
GAUGAAGAACGUAGCGAAAUGCGAUAAGUAAUGUGAAUUGCAGAAUUCAGUGAAUCAUCGAAUCUUUGAACGCACAUUGCGCCCAUUAGUAUUCUAGUGGGCAUGCCUGUUCGAGCGUCAUUAAGUCCACUUAAGCCCUGCUUAGUGUUGGGAGACUGCUCCAGCGGUGCUACCCUGUAGCUACCCUGCAGCUCCUCAAAGACAGCGGCGGAGUUGUGGUAUCCUCUGAGCUUAGUAACUUGUUCUAGCUUUCGAGUAUACCACUUCCCCUGCCGUAAAACCCUUAAUUUUUAAUGGUUGACCUCGGAUCAGGUAGGAAUACCCGCUGAACUUAAGCAUAUCAAUAAGCGGAGGA